AGGUACUAUCCGUAGAUCCCGAAGCGUGAGUGCUUUUUCCAGAUCUACCACAGCGGAUGUUUCGGCAGAUUUUUCGAAUAGUAGAGAUAAUCCGCUCUUCUGGAGCAAUGGUUCGCCUCCAUCAGAAGAAGCCCGUACUGUUAACCUUGAAUCUGAUGGAAGUUCCUCCAGAAUUAGUGCAGGAAGUUCGAAACGUGUGAGUUCUGGUGGUGUUGAGAAUACGAGGGGACGA
RNAcentral lists this unclassified non-coding RNA (232 nucleotides) under Hevea brasiliensis (rubber tree). Lineage: Eukaryota; Viridiplantae; Streptophyta; Magnoliopsida; Malpighiales; Euphorbiaceae. The record is from RNAcentral.